This 492-nucleotide ribosomal RNA is filed under the name uncultured bacterium. Its description in RNAcentral is "partial 16S ribosomal RNA". It matches the Rfam family "Bacterial small subunit ribosomal RNA", at positions 29 to 507 of the family's 1533-position model. The record is from RNAcentral.
AGUGAACGCUGGCGGUAGGCCUAACACAUGCAAGUCGAACGGCAGCACAGUAAGAGCUUGCUCUUACGGGUGGCGAGUGGCGGACGGGUGUGGAAUACAUCGGAAUCUACUUUUUCGUGGGGGAUAACGUAGGGAAACUUACGCUAUUACCGCAUACGACCUACGGGUGCAAGCAGGGGAUCUUCGGACCUUGCGCGAUUGAAUGAGCCGAUGUCGGAUUAGCUAGUUGGCGGGGUAACGGCCCACCAAGGCGACGAUCCGUAGCUGGUCUGAGAGGAUGAUCAGACACACUGGAACUGAGACACGGUCCAGACUCGUACGGGAGGCAGCAGUGGGGAAUAUUGGACAAUGGGCGCAAGCCUGAUCCAGCCAUACCGCGUGGGUGAAGAAGGCCUUCGCGUAGUAAAGCUCUUUUGUUGGGAAAGAAAAGCAGCAGGUGAAUACCCCGCUGUUCUGACGGUACCCAAAGAAUAAGCACCGGCUAACUUCGUG